Molecule: long non-coding RNA, 7469 nt
Organism: Passer domesticus (house sparrow)
Lineage: Eukaryota; Metazoa; Chordata; Aves; Passeriformes; Passeridae
Exons: 2
Source: RefSeq, a predicted model, not a curated record
CAAACCCGGUGAACUCAGUUUAUGGCCAUCAAACAUGUUCUGAUGCUCUUCAGGCCUGUAGUUCCUUAGGCAGUGCUUUGGUUGGGCUGGCAGGGUCUUAAAUACCAUUUUGCUGCCUGUGCUGUGAGCAAGCAGUGAUUGAGGGCAGCUGCUGAAAAGCAAAUACCGUGUUCUGACUUGUAAUCUAAAAAGAGGCAUUGCUCAGAAGGUGGUUUUGGAUUCCUGGUGCGUUCCUGCUGUUCUCUUCAAAGCUUCAGCCACACAUAGGUUGAUGGACAUCCUUCUUCUCCCUGGACAUUUUCUCUCUCAGUUAUUAAUGUACAGCCUGCUACCUUCCAGCUCCAGCCUCAGAAGGAAAAUGUCUCCCCAGCUGCAACACAUGGAGGGAAAAGUUGACUGACAUCUUUGCAUUUGUUAGGGGAGCAUUGUAAAUGGCUGUUCCCUGCCAAGAAAUUUCUUUUGAGAAGUUACAUUUAGUCAGUAAAAUAACACCUGAGCAUGCCAAACCGGAGUUGGAAAAAGGUAAAUUUAAUCAUAGGACUGAAAAGGAAUUCUUUAAUACACCUGAACUGAAGAAAAUAAAGAAGAAUUAACUCUUUCCAUGGACAAAUGGGAAAAGACUUGUCCCCUGCAGCCCUGGAGGAGCCCACACCAGAGCAGGUGGAUGUGCCUGAAGGAGGCUGCGAGCCCAUGGAAACCUGUGCUGGAGCAGGCCCUGCCAGGAGCUGCGGCCUGUGGAGAGAGCAGAGCAGCCCACACUGGAGCAGGCUCCUGGCAGGAGCUGUGACCCCACAAGGGACCCACAGUGGAGCAGCCUGUUCCUGAGGGACUGCACCCUGGGGAGGAGACCUUGCUGGAACAUUCCAUGAGGAAAUGCAGCCUCUGGGAAGGACUAACCUUAGAGAAGUCCAUGGAGGACUGUCUCACUGGAAGGAACUCACAAUGAAACAGUGGAAGAGUCUGAGGAGUCCUCCCCAUGAAAAAGGAGCAGCAGGGACACCACUGAUGAACUGAUUUCAUCCUCAAUUCCCUGUCCCCUCGUGUCAUGGGGGGAGUGGAGGCAGGGAAACCAUGAAUGAAGCUGAGCCUGGGAAAAGAGGGGGGGAUGCUCUCCUUAAAAAGGAGAAGGCCUUUUUAAGAUUCAUUCUUACUUCUUAUUAAUCAACUCUGAUUUAAUUGGCAGUAAGUUAAAGUAACAUCUGUGGGUGUUCAUCCAGUUACCAUCACCCAUGGUGGUAACUGGUGAGUGACCUCUCCCUGUCCUUAUCCUAACCCAUGAACCUUCAAUUUUAUGUUCUGCCCCUGCCCUGUUGAGGAGGGGAGUGACAGAGUGGCCUUGGCAGGCACCAGCCAAGGCCAACCCACCACAAACACUUAAGCACAACUGCACCCCUUACUAUCAUCUCUUCAACUGUGUGAGCUUUUGGAAAACCUUUAUAGCAGGAUUUUCAGUCCCUUUAGAUAUGGCUGAGUAUGGGGAUUUUUGAAGGCAUUUUGAGAUGGGAUUUCUGAGUUUUUUUAGAUGAUGUGAUUUAUUUUUUUUUUCUUCUGCAUAGGCAGGAAGGGUGAGUUCAGCUCACAUCCUUACUGUGUGGUUCAGAAGGUCACAAUACCCUUAGUUAUAAGACAUUUUAAGGAUUUAUUGACCAAUAAAACACUGCUAAAAAGGAUAUUUAUGUUUUUGUCCCAAUGCUUAAGUAUUUCAUCUUAUGAACUCAUGUUACAGUGUAAGCUUUCUUAGGCUAUGAUACACAAGCCUUUAGUACUGCAUUCUAAACUUCUUGUUUACCUUUGUAACUACUUUUAUUUUUUCUAUAUCCUAAACUCCAAAACUCUAAACCUUCUUCUUCUUAAUUCAAUGUGUCUCUGCUUCAAACUAUAAAUCCACAUUCUUGCUUAUAGUACUUAAGUUUGGAAGACUUUUCCAAGGUCUCAAAUCAAAUCCUGUGUUUAAUUCUAAGCUUUAGCUUACAGGCUCAAAGUUCUGAGAAUUCCCUGCAUUUCAGAAUCCACCAGCUGAGUUUAAAAGGUGUUGACAAGGAUUUCAUGUGUCUCUAUUAUUUGUUCAGUUUGUUUAACUGUUGGUCUGCCAGCAGGGCCACCCAGGCAGCCACGCUUGCAGGAUGAGCUUGUUCAGUGAGAAUCACCCACUGAUUCAGAUCUCCCAAGCCUCCUGAAUGUCUCCCUGGGCCUGCUAGGAGAAGGUACAUGUUGCUUUAAUAACUGUGUGUUAUUAAAGUGUGGCCACCACCAAAUCCUCACUGAUGAGCAGUCCAAGCAAUCUGUCUCAUAUGAGGCGGGGAGUAGCUGUGCCACCAGUCAGUGGCCACUUUGAUGGGCCAAUUCCAUCAGAUUUUUGACAUGUGUUUGAUGGCAGUGAGGAGCAUGAAGUGAAGGACUGCUCUGUGGAGAACUGGUAGAGGAGAAGCCUUUCAAAAUGGUGCUUGGCUCAGGUGCUGGCUCAAAGAGCUGUGUUACAGAAGCUGUCCCCAGCUGUUUGAUUUAUCCUGUGCUCAAAGCAGCAGGGCUUCUUACAAUUUUGUAAAUAAUCCAAACUUCAUCAAAGAAGCUUUUAUUCCUGACUGGAGUUACCUAUUGGACACUGAGCUGGCCAACUGCCCAGCAUUCCUGCAGAAGGGAAACUGGCAGAUGAAGGAGAAUUAGGAAUCUUGAUUUUUUUUUACUUUUGUCAGCUGUGCUAAAGAGCCAUAGUAAAAAGUCUACUUUGAAAUAGUUUUAUCUAUGUAUUUUCAAAUUUCUGUGCAACAUCUUUCCAAAACAAACGUGCCAAAGGAAAGUGGUAAAAAUGUCAUCUUCUUCCCUAAACAGUCUUGGUCCUUCUUAUUCUAUGCUAUAUUUCGUCAUGUUAAUGGCAAAAUGAAGUCCCUGCUACAGUCUGCUUCAACCACAGCUUCAUAAAAAUAAUUUACUGAAAUUUUACUUCCAAUGCAGUAGUACAGCUAAGAGCAACAUGGCCUUGAAAAGGAUCAGAAAUAGCUUCUGUCAUAAAACAGGAUGUCAGAAGCACUUAGCACUUUGUAUUAGCCUUGUGUUAAUAAUGAUGAACAAAAACAUAUUCAAAUGUGACAUUCAUGUCUGAGGCCAAUUGAUAACCAGAUGUAAGUAAUGCUUUGGUUUUGGCUGCAGGAUGUUUGUGACUGAUGGUGACGGGCCAAGCUGGUUCUCCAGUUCCAGGCUGAGUUUGCACAGAGAGAAACAGUGCAUUUGAUUUAAAGAAGAGGCAAAUUCCUAAUUUUGGGUUUGGGAUUGUUUGGUUUUGGGGUUUUUUUGCAGAGCUGUGUUUCAGAGUGGGACCAUGUUUCCAGGAUAAGGAGUGCUUUCUUUGCUUUGGCACAGUGUCUGGUCCUGCUCUCCUGCUCUGAGCAGUGGGAGAUCACCUUGCUGGGUUUCAGCCACAGGUAUGUUUUGACCAUUAAGGCCAGUAAAAUCUUGUGUCUUCUGCUCAUGCAUUUGUUCUGCUCAUGCAUUUGCUACUUGGGUCACGGUUUUCUAAAAUUUUCUUUCUGAAGGGCUUAACUGUGUAGUAAACAGGUAUUAAUUAAAACCACUGUUUUAUCCCUUAGCAAAGAGAAUUAAGCUGGCACCUAAGUAAAUAUUAGGGAAAACACUUAGUGAGAAGAGGCCGUACAUACCAAAGUAGGACACCUUGAUGCAGAUGGCUGACUCAUCAGUGUGACACAUUCUGUGUUAAAUAUGGAAAGCUCAGAUGUCAUUUGUUGUACCUCAGCAAGAGCAGAAUGAGAUUUUUUUUCUUCUUCUUCUUCCAAAGAUGCCUUGUAAACCAGGCAGAGAUUUUGAUUUACUGUCUAUGCAGGUGAACACACCAAUACACUGUGCAGCUCCUCUCAUUCCUUUGCUGCAGCCCAGGGCCUUCCUCACAGAUGCAUUCCUGCUGUUUCGAGGUUCCUGCACCACACCAGGGCCACCCUUUUAGGCUGCUGGAUGUAUUUUUAUUACCAGUUACUGGCUGAGUUUCUCCACUAAGAUUUUGUUUCCAACUUCCAUCUUAAUUUGCAACCAGCGAUAAUUUAGCUGCAAUCCUUUUCCAUCUCUCCUCCCUGGGGAAGUAAUUUGAGCCCUGAAGGUCUAAUCCUGGCUUCACUGAUGUAGCUUAUGGCUGUGAGCAUCCCACUGUCCCAGGAGCUGUGGGAGGCAGAUUUUUGGGAGGCUGUGUUGUGUAGCCAGCUGUGAAGCUGCACGGGAAAGUGAUUGAGGGUCACCUGCCACACGAUGCUGCUGCUCUAAGCCUGAGGCUCUGAGGCAGGUAGUUGCCAUUGCUCUGGCUUGGAGUUUUAAUGUAAGCAGAUUCAAGAGGAAAGGAAAGCUUCUUCUGGCCAGAUCAAGGCAACAUUUGCAAGAACUCAGUACCUUUAUAAAAAAAUAAAUACAAUAAUACAGAAGUAAGCGGCCCUCAGUGAUAGACCAGUGCAUUAAACUGAACAAGUAAUGCAAGCACUUUUUCACAUUUCCUUUCCUUUUCCUUCAAGAUACAGAAAAUAGUUUUGGGAAACCACUCUCUUGCCAAGUUUUUCAAGACUGUUUUUGUCAGGCUCAGUGCUGCUGCAUGUUUGGGCAUGCAGAGAAAGGCACCAAGCUUCACUCUGCAGCCAGCGAGGCUUCUGGAUAGGGAGUCCUCCUUCCCCGUAACAGCAUUCCUAGAAAAAGAGUCCCAUAACCUUUCCAGCUUUGCUGUGUAUUUCUGGUGUUGUUUUCACUCUCUUUGCUUUCAACAGUGAAGUUUCCAGUUCCCUAUCUUCUUCCUCAAUCUAGCUUUCAGGGAGAGAAAAAAAAUACACUAAUAGGGAGAAGCAUGAGCAUUCUAUGAAGGUACAAGGCUAAUGGUAAAACCAUAUUUUUUUCUGAGUUUUCUGACAGUCCCUGAUUACUAGUAAGGUUUCUGCUUUGUUUGAAUUCACUGUGAUAACUACAAACACUAAUUUUAAAAAACAGGAGACAUUCUAGCAUUACCUUGCUCUGUGUCUCAUAGUUAAAUAAUGUACUUCUCAAUCCUGAGAUGAGCUCAGUUGGUUAGAGCAUGGUGCCAAUAAUGCCAAGGUUGUGGGUUUGAUCUCCAUAUGGACCAUUCACUUGAUGGUCCCUGUGGGUCCCUUCCAACACAGAAUAAUCUGUGAUAAUGUGAUAUUUACUUUGUUCUGUACGUGUAGCCUUAUUAGUACAUAGCAGGAGUCCUUACAUAUUUAGCUUAUGAAUGAACUCUUAAAUGCAAUCAGGACUUAUGAAAAUGUACUUAUUCAAAUGGACAGCAAUAAAUUUUUAAUAACUGGCUAACCUUAGAAACAAUGCUAAGAUGCCCAUCAAUCUCUAUAGGCGGUUAAUGUCCUAAACAGCCUUUGUACCAACCAUUCAAAUUACCACAACGAUUUUAAUUAGGAAUGUGGUUUGCAGCGUAGAUUCACUUUAAAAAUUAUUUGCAGAUCCCCUAUGAAGAGAUUUCUGUUUGAAUAGCAGCUCUUUUGCAUCAGAUUUAUGUAUUUGCAUAGAUGGUAAAGUGCUUGCCACUGAAAUUGCUUUAAAAGCCAUCCCAUACAAUGGGAUAUAGCAAUAAUAUAAUUUUGCAAUACAGAAGAUAGAUGUUUUUUCACAGAUAUGAUCCAGCGCAGAAUUAACCCCCCAAAAUAUCAAUCCAUGUUUGACUUGUUUUGGUCCUUUAGGGGAUCAGUUCACAGGAUAAUACUCUGAAGCUCUCUACUUUGCAGUCAGCAGAGGCACCUGGAUUACAGGUGAACACAGAAAGGUGACAGUUCCAUGGGGUGCUCUGAGUCCCCCUUCUGAACUUCCCCAGCUAAGGGCAAGUACAUCCUCUCCAAAAAACAUCUUCUGGAAUUUUCUCCCAUUGCCAUAGUCAACCAUGCAAGCCAGUUCACAGCAAGGGGGCGAGACAGAGUGCUCCCUAGGACUUGACUUGGAUUUUAUUCUUCCACGUUUUCCCAGCUAACUUCGGCAAACUAAUUAGACACACUUCCAGAGCUGCCGGUGUAUUUAAUCUACAAAUGUUUAUCUGUUUUUUGCUCCCUGGGUAGAAGAUACUACAGAAGGUAUUGACAUCUGUGCCAGACUUAAAAACCUUCUGGCAUUCCCUGUGAUCACAACCCCCUGUCUGCCAUCAGGAGUACAAACCACCCGCACUAGCAGGGCGUGCCACCUCUGCCAGGAGCAGCACAGAGAGUGUGAUGCACUUGACUGAUUUCUCAGGAGAAAAAGCUGCAUUUCCAAAUUACCUUUCUCCCUUACAACAAUUUUUAUAGAGGCUCAGAGGUGGUGCUACCAAAUGCUUCUAGAUUUUUCCUCUACUUCCCAGCUGCUCACACACCUUUUCUGAGUUAAUGUGACUACUACUUCCUGGAAUCUGUGCUUUUCUCUCUCACUGACCCCAUGGCUCUGUUUACCUCAUAUUUACAGUUCUAAAAUUACCACUUAUUAUUUGAUUCUCUCUGCUUGGGUCUUUGGUCAUUGCAAAAGGGUGUAAACCUACCCAGAGUAUUUGACAUUUAUUCUACACACACUCCGAAUGCACACAAGUACUCUCUAUUUAGACAACAUGAAUGCUGCUCUAAUCACUGUUUAUCUUGUAAAUUACAACUCUGUGGAAACAUUUUCUUUGCGCCAUCUGGCUUGAUGUAUUUUUUAAUCAGUUGAUAAGUAUUUUUCUAUGUUACAAGGAGUAGAUAGUAAAGCAUUUGUUACACUAGGAUGUGAAGUAAAGAUUUUUCAAAGCUGAACUUGUAAAAAAUUCGCUGCAUUAAACAUUUUAAGUUUUGCCAAAAUACCAAAGACAGUUUUGGUGAAGGUUUCAUAGGGCUCAUUUUGGACAAUGAACAUCUGUCAAGAAAACUGCACAUUUUUUCUAAGAAUGCUGGUUGAACAGGACUCCUGUGUAGAAAUGAAAAGACAUCUCAAUUACAAACAGCACUUUGGCUAAUAAUUUCAUCCUUAUGAUUUCACUACUGUAAUUGUAGUGAAAUAAAAUAACCAAUACAGAUCCUUGCUGGCAAAGAAUUUCACUCAGAUACAAGAAGGAAGAUGCUAUUACAAUACAAGGAUUUCAGGAACUAGCAAUCAUUUCAACUCUCCUGGAGAUAAGAAAAUGAGAGUAUCGGGAAAUACUCAAAAUAAAAAAAUGCUUUUUAAAUGAGCAAAGGCGCACAGCACUUUCUCAUGUCUGCCUUUGGUCUUCCUAAAAUGCCAGUCACUCUUUUUCUAAAAAUACACAAAUUAUUGUAAUUGCAGAUAAAAAACUUAAAAGUAGCUUCUGCUGGAUUUUAACUCAAAGUCCUUUGAAGAUAAAUUUUAUUACUAAGUGUCUGCAUCUGAUUUUAUAAGUGUUCAGUACUGGCAUUUAGGCUGUUGAAAGUAGUAAUUAAAUACACAAAUUUUUAAGAAGCCUAGAACAUUGCCCUUGAAUCAUCCUAAGGGAGAAGCUUAAAAGA